Molecule: ribosomal RNA, 456 nt
Filed under: uncultured bacterium
Lineage: Bacteria
Description: partial 16S ribosomal RNA
Rfam family: Bacterial small subunit ribosomal RNA
Source: RNAcentral
CCUACGGGAGGCAGCAGUGAGGAAUAUUGGUCAAUGGUCGGGAGACUGAACCAGCCAAGCCGCGUGAGGGAUGAAGGUACAGAGUAUCGUAAACCUCUUUUGUCAGGGAACAAAGGCGGGGACGUGUCCCCGGAUGAGUGUACCUGAAGAAAAAGCAUCGGCUAACUCCGUGCCAGCAGCCGCGGUAAUACGGAGGAUGCGAGCGUUAUCCGGAUUUAUUGGGUUUAAAGGGUGCGCAGGCGGUCUGUUAAGUCAGCGGUCAAAGCCCGGGGCUCAACCCCGGCCCGCCGUUGAAACUGGCAGGCUCGAGUUGGAGAGAAGUAUGCGGAAUGCGCGGUGUAGCGGUGAAAUGCAUAGAUAUCGCGCAGAACUCCGAUGGCGAAGGCAGCAUGCCGGCUCCACACUGACGCUGAGGCACGAAAGCGUGGGUAUCGAACAGGAUUAGAUACCCUAGUC